Rhododendron vialii is the source of this 3193-nucleotide long non-coding RNA. RefSeq lists it as uncharacterized. Lineage: Eukaryota; Viridiplantae; Streptophyta; Magnoliopsida; Ericales; Ericaceae. The transcript has 3 exons. The record is from RefSeq and is a predicted model, not a curated record.
UCAUCAUUGGCUCUCAAAUGCAUUUGAUUGCCCAUCUACAUUUGGCUUUGUUUGUUUUGACGUAAAAUAUUUUCUGUGGAUAACUACAUCAAUUUCCGGUGCUUGUCUGGACAAAGUGGAGUAAAAGAUUUGUUCGUGCAUAUAUUAUUCAUGGAGGAAAUCAAUGAUGACUUACAUUACCCUUAUUCUAGUAACACAAGAAAGCAUUGAAACUGCAUGAUUGAUUUCUGCAAAGGAGACUUUAUGUUGAGCUUGGGCGUAGUAGUUGGUUAAAUAACUUAAACUUGUAAAGAGACGAGUAGACUGCAGUUAUGGGAAAUAUAGUUGUAACAUCAACCAGACAACUGAAAUAUCUUUCAGAAUGGAAAAUAAUGUUUGAUAUAAAAUGAUUUAUGUUGAAACAAAUGGAGCCGUAGUGUUUGUUGUGAGUUGUGACGAGCACCUGAACUAUGAGUUAUUUUAAGUAGAUGACUGUACAGUUGACUUCUCGGGUGUGAAAUUUGGUUUUGUUGUCAAUUCUGGUAGGACUUUUAUCAUUCGUUGCUUACGACCAAAGAUAGUACUCCUGGAUGUCUAGCCCGAAGCGUAGGGCUUUCUAGUCGUUUGCAGAAUAACUCGGUAGGACCGAGAUCGGACCACAGGGAGCUCAAAUAUAGCUAGUUCGGAUUGUAGGCUUUAUGUAAGGUUUGCGGCGUUUAGACGGCCAACUGUCGGUUUUGCUUUGAAAAGUGAAAUACUCUUAUAAAAAGACUUGAAAUGAGGUUUAAACUUAGAUAAAAAGGCAGUAAGAUUGAGGGGAUUAAACCACCCGUGACUUAGCCGUUUUUACCGUUUCUUUCUAACAACUCAAGGUCAAGACAUAGACAAUCUUGAACCCGAAGCACUCAACGUUAAAAGCUAAGCGUAAUCAUGGAUUUAGUUCGGAAAUAGCUUAAUCUCGUUUAGUAAACAUUUAAUUCAAAUACCCGGAGCGUUAAAGCUCCAAGCACUGUGUGCGACAAGUAGGUUAAAACUCCGGCCAACACACGAUCAAAAAGGGUAAUAGCUUUAAGGUUUGGCCGGAAAUCAGAGAUCAAGUCUUUCCUCACUAAACCAUGAUCAAGUUAUAGUUAAACCAUUAAAACUACUAAGGCAUGGUAUAGAGAUCACCCCAUGACCAAGCCUGAGUGACUACUCACACAUGCUUAAAGAACGAGUCAUAGAGCUAAAAAUGACAAACAUGAUUAACCGAUAAAAACGGAAAUAAACUUGAUUUAUACGAAGAUCCAACACGUAGCUACAACUUUAAUAAAUGGGAAAAUAAUGUACGACAAAUACAUUAAGGUGUUCUUCAAAGAUUACACUAGAAAAGCUUGAAACUUAGCUAUGGAGAUUUCCUUGAAAGAUGACGACUUAAAGCAUAAAGGUACAUCCUUGCCAAAUAUGGCAUACAAAUCUAUUUAUAUGGCUGGUAAAUCACCCUUACAAAAGACCAAAAGGUCCCAAAAUAUCCCAAAAACAAGCCAUAAGUGGAAACUUUCCAUUAAUAGAAGGUUGAACAAGUCAGCACAAAAAUCUGGACGAAGGGCAUAGGUACCAAUACCUAUAUUUUGAGGUAUCGGUACCUACAGGUCUGUUCAGUACUGGAGUCAAAAGGUAUCAAUACCUCAUUUUCUAGGUACCGAUACCUUUGCUGCAAUUUUGCAGAUCAAGGCAGCUAGCUUCACAAGUCCUUUGACGGCCCCAAUGACCUUCCAAUGCUUCUUUACUUGAUCCUCGGGACUUGACGGAGGAGUGUCAACGUGACCUUGGUCUCUCGGAUGCCCUCUAGGGCUACCCUCGAUGCUUUGUCUUCGCUUCCUUAGCUUUGGAUCGCCUAUUUGACACUUGAGUCUCCGGGCAUCCCCCGAGACUUCUUGUCGUGCCUUUAGGUCUCGGUGACGAUGAGGCACAUGCCUUCGGGCACUUGGAUACUUGGUUGCACCCGGAGCAUUCCUUGGCAUUCAAACAUGCCUUGUUAGCACGUUUUACUUGAAACAUCCUCAAACAAACCUUACAUUCAAUUCUAUUCAAAACAAGCUAUUUAAGCGUAAAAGCAAGACAUAAAAGAGGACUAAAGCACCAAGAUUACACAAUAUUGGGUGCUUAUCAUUCGUGUAUGAUGGUGUUUGAGCGAUGCUAUGCGAUUGCUGAAUGUGUUUGAUACGGAAAAGUUUUGCCUUUAGAGCCCCAAUGUUCUGUGGUGAGUCAAAACAGCUUCAGAUGACCCUGGUACUUGUGAUGGUGUUUGACCGAUGCUAUGAUUACUGAAUGUCUUCAAACCCCCACCCACCAAAAACACACCAAAAAGGCUGAGGAGUUUCCAAGAGAAAGAUUUAGUUAGAAAGUGCAUAUUGUUUUAACAGAAGCAAAAACACUACUCGUUAAAUAUUAUGCCUUUAGAGCCCCAAAGUUCUGCGGUCAGUCCAAACAGCUUGAGAUGACCCUGGUACUUGUGAAGUGUGACCUUUCGGAGUAAAUUUCUACCAUGAAGCUUGGAUCUUCGCUUUUGGGGUACAACUUCAUGCUCAACUACACACAAGAUGUUAGUUGGACAAGUAAUACAGGUAGUUCUGUAAGGCUGUAACCUGAAUUCUAUACCACUCCUCUUUGGGGCGGCAGUUUAUUCAAUAAAGCUUAUAGCUGGUGGAGUUAAUACUAACUGUAUGAAACCAGUAAAACAAAUGGCAAGUCCAAGUCGCUUAUGACUUUUGAGUAAAGUAGAAUCAAGUGAUAACAGGACAAUCAGCUCUCCAAUCCCCUUUAGACGAAAGUUGUGGAUUUUCAUGAAAAUUUAUAACUUUAUAACUGAUGGGUGCCCCAGUAAUUAAAUGGUUAAACCAAAAGAUAGAAUUGUGUUGACUGUUAGUGCAAUGUUAAAGUCAUGUCUUCUAUUUUCUUGCCGCUCCAGCGAACUGAAGGGGGGGGGGGGCGAUGUUAUGUGUAACUCCAAUAUAUUUUCCAUCCAUCCGUCCUUCCUAUAUACUACCUAGCAAUUUUGUCUCUCAUUAAUAAACAAGAACUCCAGAUUGUAACUUGUUCAAUUGGUUCUUAAAUUGACUAUUCAUCUGCAAUGCUUAUAUUUGUUGACCUCCUGAGUCUGUAAUUUUUGCUAUUUAUUCAGCCUUUUGGGUUUUCUUCCUUGCCGUUGGAAACUUAAACGUUUCAUUUUUGU